Molecule: long non-coding RNA, 254 nt
Filed under: Actinidia chinensis (golden kiwifruit)
Lineage: Eukaryota; Viridiplantae; Streptophyta; Magnoliopsida; Ericales; Actinidiaceae
Description: long non-coding RNA (ACHI_LNC000720)
Source: RNAcentral
UUGCUGGUAUAUCUAUACUUUAGUUUCACUUUUGUUCUUUGUCAUGUUUUUCCUCCUCUCUUCCUCUUGACACACAUAAACCUACUCAUAGAUGUCUUAUCUCUCUUUCAUCUUGGAUUUAUGCUUAGCUCCAAUUAAUCUGGACCAAGUUUUCUAAUUAGUUUUAUUUUAUAAAAACAGAGGUGACUCUGAAUAUGGUCAGGAAACUUAUUGCGAGUAUGUUAUACUGGGAUGUGGUCCAAUUAAUCCAAUUU